UUAUAGAGGCGCAGCAGACAUCAGUAGCAUAAAGCGUAAAAGGUUUCGCACACCGUUGCUUUCUGGCGAAAGGGGAAGCUGCCGAAGGGAGGAAAAGGCGUUUUCUUCUCUGGGCCCGGGGAGAAUACCCUGAGGGACUGUCGCAUCACCUGCGGAGUGCUAUGGAU
RNAcentral lists this non-coding RNA (167 nucleotides) under bovine gut metagenome. RNAcentral describes it as "Lysine riboswitch". It matches the Rfam family "Lysine riboswitch aptamer". Rfam says of the family: Riboswitches are metabolite binding domains within certain messenger RNAs that serve as precision sensors for their corresponding targets. Allosteric rearrangement of mRNA structure is mediated by ligand binding, and this results in modulation of gene expression. This family includes riboswitches that sense lysine in a number of genes involved in lysine metabolism, including lysC. The record is from RNAcentral.